This 437-nucleotide ribosomal RNA is filed under the name uncultured bacterium. RNAcentral's name for it is "partial 16S ribosomal RNA". It matches the Rfam family "Bacterial small subunit ribosomal RNA", at positions 339 to 795 of the family's 1533-position model. The record is from RNAcentral.
CUACGGGCCGCUCAGUGAGGAAUAUUGCACAAUGGGGGGAACCCUGAUGCAGCAACGCCGCGUGGAGGAUGACGCAUUUCGGUGUGUAAACUCCUUUUAUAUGUCAAGAAAAUGACGGUAGCAUAUGAAUAAGCACCGGCUAACUCCGUGCCAGCAGCCGCGGUAAUACGGAGGGUGCAAGCGUUACUCGGAAUCACUGGGCGUAAAGGACGCGUAGGCGGGUUGGAAAGUCAGGUGUGAAAUCCUACAGCUUAACUGUAGAACUGCACUUGAAACUUCUAAUCUAGAGUAUGGGAGGGGGAGAUGGAAUUAGUGGUGUAGGGGUAAAAUCCGUAGAUAUCACUAGGAAUACCUAAAGCGAAGGCGAUCUCCUGGAACAUUACUGACGCUAAGGCGUGAAAGCGUGGGGAGCAAACAGGAUUGAUACCCGUGUAGUC